This 460-nucleotide ribosomal RNA is filed under the name uncultured bacterium. RNAcentral's name for it is "partial 16S ribosomal RNA". It matches the Rfam family "Bacterial small subunit ribosomal RNA", at positions 338 to 795 of the family's 1533-position model. The record is from RNAcentral.
CCUACGGGAGGCAGCAGUGAGGAAUAUUGGUCAAUGGACGAGAGUCUGAACCAGCCAAGCAGCGUGAAGGAUGACUGCCCUAUGGGUUGUAAACUUCUUUUAUGAAGGAAUAAAAUGAGGCUCGCGUGCCUUUCUGCAUGUACUUUAUGAAUAAGGAUCGGCUAACUCCGUGCCAGCAGCCGCGGUAAUACGGAGGAUCCGAGCGUUAUCCGGCUUUAUUGGGUUUAAAGGGAGCGUAGGUGGGCUGUUAAGUCAGGUGUGAAAGGUUGCGGCUCAACCCUCAAAUUGCCUUUGAUACUGGCUGUCUUGAGUAGUGUAGAGGUAGGCGGAAUGCGUGGUGUAGCGGUGAAAUGCUUAGAUAUUGCGAAGAACCCCGAUUGCGAAGGCAGCUUACUGGACAGUAACUGACGCUGAGGCACGAAAGCGUGGGGAUCAAACAGGAUUAGAUACCCGGGUAGUC